GUGAUUUUCAUUAACUUAAUUUUGUAAAUACUACUCAAGAACAGCAUGAAGGACAUCAGGAGAAGGGAAAAAUGAAGGGGAGAAAUCAGAGUGGGAGACAAACCAUGAAAGACUAUGGCCUCUGGGAAACAAAUGGAGAGUAUUAAAAGAAAUAAAGGAGAAGACAGAAGCAGAAAAAUGUGGAGGAAGUGAAGAGGGAACAGAUGGAAGCAAAAUAUAAGGAAGAAGAGGAAAAAGUGGAAGAACUUGAAAGUCUCUCAGGAAAUGACACAUUUUCA
This 278-nucleotide long non-coding RNA is filed under the name Mustela putorius furo (domestic ferret). Its description in RNAcentral is "lncRNA (ENSMPUG00000031627.1)". Lineage: Eukaryota; Metazoa; Chordata; Mammalia; Carnivora; Mustelidae. The record is from RNAcentral.